RNAcentral lists this ribosomal RNA (517 nucleotides) under uncultured soil bacterium. RNAcentral's name for it is "bacterial SSU rRNA". It matches the Rfam family "Bacterial small subunit ribosomal RNA", at positions 8 to 526 of the family's 1533-position model. The record is from RNAcentral.
AGAGUUUGAUCCUGGCUCAGGACGAACGCUGGCGGCGUGCCUAACACAUGCAAGUCGAGCGGUCCUUAUCAUCAUAGCUUGCUAAGUUGAUAAGGAUAGCGGCGAACGGGUGAGUAACACGUGGGUAACCUGUCCAAAAGAUCGGGAUAACAGUUCGAAAGGGCUGCUAAUACCGAAUGUGCUUAUCGGAUCGCAUGGUCUGGUAAGGAAAGGUUGGAAACUUCCGCUUUUGGAUGGGCCCGCGCCCCAUUAGCUAGUUGGUAGGGUAACGGCCUACCAAGGCAACGAUGGGUAGCUGGUCUGAGGGGAUGGUCAGCCACACUGGGACUGAGACACGGCCCAGACUCCUACGGGAGGCAGCAGUGGGGAAUCUUGCGCAAUGGGCGAAAGCCUGACGCAGCGACGCCGCGUGAGCGAUGAAGGCCUUCGGGUCGUAAAGCUCUGUCAGAGGGGAAGAUAAUGACGGUACCCUCAGAGGAAGCCCCGGCUAACUACGUGCCAGCCGCCACGGUAAUUC